AGCGUACACGGUGGAUGCCCUGGCAGUCAGAGGCGAUGAAGGACGUGCUAAUCUGCGAUAAGCGUCGGUAAGGUGAUAUGAACCGUUAUAACCGGCGAUUUCCGAAUGGGGAAACCCAGUGUGWUUCGWCACACUAUCAUUAACUGAAUCCAUAGGUUAAUGAGGCGAACCGGGGGAACUGAAACAUCUAAGUACCCCGAGGAAAAGAAAUCAACCGAGAUUCCCCCAGUAGCGGCGAGCGAACGGGGAGCAGCCCAGAGCCUGAAUCAGUGUGUGUGUUAGUGGAAGCGUCUGGAAAGGCGCGCGAUACAGGGUGACAGCCCCGUACACAAAAAUGCACAUGCUGUGAGCUCGAUGAGUAGGGCGGGACACGUGGUAUCCUGUCUGAAUAUGGGGGGACCAUCCUCCAAGGCUAAAUACUCCUGACUGACCGAUAGUGAACCAGUACCGUGAGGGAAAGGCGAAAAGAACCCCGGCGAGGGGAGUGAAAAAGAACCUGAAACCGUGUACGUACAAGCAGUGGRAGCACGCUUAGGCGUGUGACUGCGUACCUUUUGUAUAAUGGGUCAGCGACUUAUAUUCUGUAGCAAGGUUAACCGAAUAGGGGAGCCGAAGGGAAACCGAGUCUUAACUGGGCGUUAAGUUGCAGGGUAUAGACCCGAAACCCGGUGAUCUAGCCAUGGGCAGGUUGAAGGUUGGGUAACACUAACUGGAGGACCGAACCGACUAAUGUUGAAAAAUUAGCGGAUGACUUGUGGCUGGGGGUGAAAGGCCAAUCAAACCGGGAGAUAGCUGGUUCUCCCCGAAAGCUAUUUAGGUAGCGCCUCGUGAAUUCAUCUCCGGGGGUAGAGCACUGUUUCGGCAAGGGGGUCAUCCCGACUUACCAACCCGAUGCAAACUGCGAAUACCGGAGAAUGUUAUCACGGGAGACACACGGCGGGUGCUAACGUCCGUCGUGAAGAGGGAAACAACCCAGACCGCCAGCUAAGGUCCCAAAGUCAUGGUUAAGUGGGAAACGAUGUGGGAAGGCCCAGACAGCCAGGAUGUUGGCUUAGAAGCAGCCAUCAUUUAAAGAAAGCGUAAUAGCUCACUGGUCGAGUCGGCCUGCGCGGAAGAUGUAACGGGGCUAAACCAUGCACCGAAGCUGCGGCAGCGACRCUGAUGYGUUGUUGGGUAGGGGAGCGUUCUGUAAGCCUGYGAAGGUGURCUGUGAGGYAUGCUGGAGGUAUCAGAAGUGCGAAUGCUGACAUAAGUAACGAUAAAGCGGGUGAAAAGCCCGCUCGCCGGAAGACCAAGGGUUCCUGUCCAACGUUAAUCGGGGCAGGGUGAGUCGACCCCUAAGGCGAGGCCGAAAGGCGUAGUCGAUGGGAAACAGGUUAAUAUUCCUGUACUUGGUGUUACUGCGAAGGGGGGACGGAGAAGGCUAUGUUGGCCGGGCGACGGUUGUCCCGGUUUAAGCGUGUAGGCUGGUUUUCCAGGCAAAUCCGGAAAAUCAAGGCUGAGGCGUGAUGACGAGGCACUACGGUGCUGAAGCAACAAAUGCCCUGCUUCCAGGAAAAGCCUCUAAGCAUCAGGUAACAUCAAAUCGUACCCCAAACCGACACAGGUGGUCAGGUAGAGAAUACCAAGGCGCUUGAGAGAACUCGGGUGAAGGAACUAGGCAAAAUGGUGCCGUAACUUCGGGAGAAGGCACGCUGAUAUGUAGGUGAAGCGACUUGCUCGUGGAGCUGAAAUCAGUCGAAGAUACCAGCUGGCUGCAACUGUUUAUUAAAAACACAGCACUGUGCAAACACGAAAGUGGACGUAUACGGUGUGACGCCUGCCCGGUGCCGGAAGGUUAAUUGAUGGGGUCAGCGCAAGCGAAGCUCUUGAUCGAAGCCCCGGUAAACGGCGGCCGUAACUAUAACGGUCCUAAGGUAGCGAAAUUCCUUGUCGGGUAAGUUCCGACCUGCACGAAUGGCGUAAUGAUGGCCAGGCUGUCUCCACCCGAGACUCAGUGAAAUUGAACUCGCUGUGAAGAUGCAGUGUACCCGCGGCAAGACGGAAAGACCCCGUGAACCUUUACUAUAGCUUGACACUGAACAUUGAGCCUUGAUGUGUAGGAUAGGUGGGAGGCUUUGAAGUGUGGACGCCAGUCUGCAUGGAGCCGACCUUGAAAUACCACCCUUUAAUGUUUGAUGUUCUAACGUUGACCCGUGAUCCGGGUUGCGGACAGUGUCUGGUGGGUAGUUUGACUGGGGCGGUCUCCUCCUAAAGAGUAACGGAGGAGCACGAAGGUUGGCUAAUCCUGGUCGGACAUCAGGAGGUUAGUGCAAUGGCAUAAGCCAGCUUGACUGCGAGCGUGACGGCGCGAGCAGGUGCGAAAGCAGGUCAUAGUGAUCCGGUGGUUCUGAAUGGAAGGGCCAUCGCUCAACGGAUAAAAGGUACUCCGGGGAUAACAGGCUGAUACCGCCCAAGAGUUCAUAUCGACGGCGGUGUUUGGCACCUCGAUGUCGGCUCAUCACAUCCUGGGGCUGAAGUAGGUCCCAAGGGUAUGGCUGUUCGCCAUUUAAAGUGGUACGCGAGCUGGGUUUAGAACGUCGUGAGACAGUUCGGUCCCUAUCUGCCGUGGGCGCUGGAGAACUGAGGGGGGCUGCUCCUAGUACGAGAGGACCGGAGUGGACGCAUCACUGGUGUUCGGGUUGUCAUGCCAAUGGCACUGCCCGGUAGCUAAAUGCGGAAGAGAUAAGUGCUGAAAGCAUCUAAGCACGAAACUUGCCCCGAGAUGAGUUCUCCCUGACUCCUUGA
RNAcentral lists this ribosomal RNA (2787 nucleotides) under Escherichia coli. RNAcentral describes it as "bacterial LSU rRNA". Lineage: Bacteria; Pseudomonadati; Pseudomonadota; Gammaproteobacteria; Enterobacterales; Enterobacteriaceae. The record is from RNAcentral.